GGGGGCUGAUGAUAUUCACGCUCUCGUAGACACCCAACUUCUCCCUGUAGAUGGGCCCAAAGCGCUGGAACUUGCUGGCCAUGAUGUUGUGCACGUUGUGGAAGCCUCCCUCCUUCCAGAAGUGGUACAGGUUGAGCCAACCCGCUCUCCAUUCACCCGGCACCUGGUCGAAAGGCCGAGCUCCCGAGGAGCUGGGCAAUGGGUAGUGGACCCCCGCGAGGGCUGGGAUCCCUCCGGCACAGCGGCAUGCCUGAAAGCUGCCCGCUAUGGGUGCAGCCCUGGAGAGCAUGGGAGCGGGGCGAGCGCACGGCCGGG
Molecule: long non-coding RNA, 315 nt
Filed under: Gallus gallus (chicken)
Lineage: Eukaryota; Metazoa; Chordata; Aves; Galliformes; Phasianidae
Source: RNAcentral